This 468-nucleotide ribosomal RNA is filed under the name uncultured bacterium. RNAcentral's name for it is "partial 16S ribosomal RNA". It matches the Rfam family "Bacterial small subunit ribosomal RNA", at positions 28 to 507 of the family's 1533-position model. The record is from RNAcentral.
GACGAACGCUGGCGGCGUGCUUAACACAUGCAAGUCGAACGGAAAGGCCCUGCUUUUGUGGGGUGCUCGAGUGGCGAACGGGUGAGUAACACGUGAGUAACCUGCCCUUGACUUUGUGAUAACUUCAGGAAACUGGGGCUAAUACUGGAUAGGAGCUCCUGCUGCAUGGUGGGGGUUGGAAAGUUUCGGCGGUUGGGGAUGGACUCGCGGCGUAGCAGCUUGUUGGUGGGGUAGUGGCUUAGCAAGGCGUUGACGGGUAGCCGGCCUGAGAGGGUGACCGGCCACAUUGGGACUGGGGUACGGCCCAGAGUCCAACGGGAGGCAGCAGUGGGAAAUAUUGCACAAUGGGCGGAGGCCGGAUGCAGCAACGCCGCGUGCGGGAUGACGGCCGUCGGGUUGUAAACCGCUUUCGCCUGGAACGAAGCGUGAGUGACGGUAAUGGGUAAAGAAGCACCGGCUAACUACGUG